UGCGUAGGUGGAUUGCCAAGUCCGUGGUGAAAUCUCUGAGCUUAACUCAGAAACUGCCGUGGAUACUGGUAGUCUUGAAUACCGUGGAGGUCAGUAGAAUAUGUCGUGUAGCGGUGAAAUGCUUAGAUAUGACAUAGAAUACCAAUUGCGAAGGCAGCUGGCUACGCGAAUAUUGACGCUGAGGCACGAAAGCGUGGGGAUCAAACA
RNAcentral lists this ribosomal RNA (207 nucleotides) under uncultured bacterium. RNAcentral's name for it is "partial 16S ribosomal RNA". It matches the Rfam family "Bacterial small subunit ribosomal RNA", at positions 568 to 774 of the family's 1533-position model. The record is from RNAcentral.